CCCUGACAGUUACACUCCGUAACUGACAUUAGCCAAGACAGGAGAUCCACAUG
Molecule: non-coding RNA, 53 nt
Filed under: unclassified sequences
Description: Mu-gpT-DE RNA
Rfam family: Mu-gpT-DE RNA
Source: Rfam by way of RNAcentral